RNAcentral lists this ribosomal RNA (497 nucleotides) under uncultured bacterium. Its description in RNAcentral is "partial 16S ribosomal RNA". It matches the Rfam family "Bacterial small subunit ribosomal RNA", at positions 28 to 507 of the family's 1533-position model. The record is from RNAcentral.
GAUGAACGCUGGCGGCGUGCCUAAUACAUGCAAGUCGAGCGAACAGACGAGGAGCUUGCUCCUCUGACGUUAGCGGCGGACGGGUGAGUAACACGUGGAUAACCUACCUAUAAGACUGGGAUAACUUCGGGAAACCGGAGCUAAUACCGGAUAAUAUAUUGAACCGCAUGGUUCAAUAGUGAAAGACGGUUUUGCUGUCACUUAUAGAUGAAUCCGCGCCGCAUUAGCUAGUUGGUAAGGUAACGGCUUACCAAGGCAACGAUGAGUAGCCGACCUGAGAGGGUGAUCGGCCACACUGGAACUGAGACACGGUCCAGACUCCUACGGGAGGCAGCAGUAGGGAAUCUUCCGCAAUGGGCGAAAGCCUGACGGAGCAACGCCGCGUGAGUGAUGAAGGUCUUCGGAUCGUAAAACUCUGUUAUUAGGGAAGAACAAAUGUGUAAGUAACUAUGCACGUCUUGACGGUACCUAAUCAGAAAGCCACGGCUAACUACGUG